RNAcentral lists this long non-coding RNA (440 nucleotides) under Manihot esculenta (cassava). RNAcentral's name for it is "long non-coding RNA (MESC_LNC009408)". Lineage: Eukaryota; Viridiplantae; Streptophyta; Magnoliopsida; Malpighiales; Euphorbiaceae. The record is from RNAcentral.
CCAUUUCGUGCACAAUACCAGGAACCACAUUAGUUGCUAAGGUGGUUUUGGUUUCAGGUAUAACACGAGGAUUCAUAGUAAUUGCUGCUGGAGGUUUUCUAUCAGUUUCAGAUAUAACACGAGGGCUCAUAUUUGCUAUGGGAUGUUUUCUAUUGGUUUCAGGUAUAACAAGAGGGUUCAUACUAGUUGCUAAGCGAGGUUUCCUAUCAGUUUCUGGUAUAACACGAGGAUUCAUAGUAGUUGCUGUAGGAGGUUUUCUAUCCAUUUCAGGUACAACAAGAGGGGUGAUAUUAGUUGACGAGGGAGGUUCUCUAUCAAUUUCAGGUGCAGGACCAGCAUUGAUAUUAUUUGAUACGGUGGUUGUCCUAUUUGUUUCAUGCACAAUUUUGGAGGCCAUAUUUAUUGAUUGAUCUUCAUUAUUAAAUUUCUCUCGUCUUUCA